CCGCCGCUGCCGCCACGGAGCCCGGCCGAGGGGAGGGAGGGAUCAGCCCCCAGGCAGGAUCCGCCCCUCCGGCCUCCCCCCCUCCCCCCGCCACCUCCACCCCUUGCCUCGCUCCCUCUCUGGCUCCGCGGGCUCUCCCGCUGAACAGGAGCGGGAGCGCGAAAGAGAGGGGAAACAAGAAAAAAAUCCCCCCGCCCGUGCCCGGCGCGGCGGCGGCCGGGGCGACGCGGAGAGGAGCGCGGAGCCGCUGCCGCCACAGGGCACCGUCCCCUGCUCGGCCUCACGGUGGCGGUGCGGACGCGGCAGGGGCGCGGAGCAAAGGCGGGAUCUGCGCCCGCCGCGGCCCUGGCUCACGCCGACCUGGCUCGCCACGGGGAGAGUCCGACUAGAGAGCUGGGGGGUGUUCGGGUCCAGAUGGGAAAGCCGGGGUCCCUAACUCCUUAGAGUGGUUAGUCAUCCCCUCCCCCAGCCCUGCGGGGGAGGUGGCUAAGGUUUGGAGCAGCAACCCCCCUCCCUGAGCUAGAGGGUCCCUCCAAAGGCUAAGUCAAGAGCAGUCAUUGAAGACAAAACCAGUCUGCAGUUUCUUGGGGUGCAGGUGCCUGCACUACUCCCAGAAAGUCGCCCCCCUCCCUCCGUGCUCCAGUCCGGAGGACAAAGGUCUAUCGAUGUCCAUACCCUUCCCCAGUGAGGACAGCCGGGGAAGACCUGCCUCUGUUGUGUACAGGACCCCGUGUGUCUGCAGGAUUGAUGAGUGGACUCUCCGUCUGGCUGUGGGCAGUACCUCCAGGUCCUUUCAGGGAUAUGGGCUCAAUCUACACAAAAGGAAGAAAACCUACAGAUCAAGUCAAAAGGUCUUUUCAGAUGGAAAGCUCACAUUCUCAACUCCACACUCUGCUGCCUCCCAGACCCUGCAUGAGAAGCUGCAGAUACCAGGGUCAUAAUAUAAGCUGUAUUAUACGUGACUGGGGCCAGGUCUCUUGAGGACCUAUGAGGGAAGAUUUAACAUGAAGGAGACCAGGUGAAUGGAGAAAACUGCUGUUGAGAAGGAGGAAAUGACAAUGUCCGGAAGAUGGGGUAAUCAGGGAGGGAAGAGGAUGUGGUAGAGAAAAUAAAAAUAAUAGUUAAUGCUUGGUGAGCACUUCCCAUGUGCCAGGUACUGUUCUGAGUGCUUCCCUUAUGUUAAUUUCUUUAGUAUUAUUAUCCUUAUAGAUGAGGA
Molecule: long non-coding RNA, 1216 nt
Organism: Balaenoptera acutorostrata (minke whale)
Lineage: Eukaryota; Metazoa; Chordata; Mammalia; Artiodactyla; Balaenopteridae
Exons: 3
Source: RefSeq, a predicted model, not a curated record